Molecule: long non-coding RNA, 1478 nt
Organism: Cyanistes caeruleus (blue tit)
Lineage: Eukaryota; Metazoa; Chordata; Aves; Passeriformes; Paridae
Source: RefSeq, a predicted model, not a curated record
UGCGCCGGGGGGCGCCCCGGAUGCCGCCCGUGACUCGCCUUCCCGGAGAGAAACCUCAUGAGGUUCAGCAAGGCUCUGGGGAGGAAUAACCCCAAGUACUAGCGUUAUUGGGGUUGGCGACCUUCUAGAGAGCAGCAGUGUGGAGAAGGACCUGGUGGGUAACAAGCUGACCGUGAGCCGGCGGUGGCUUUGAAGCUCUGAGAGCCAAUGGGAUCCUGGGGUGCAUCGGGAAAUGUACGGCCUGCAGAUUGAAAGAGGAGACACUGGAGGAGCUGGGCCUGUUCAGCCUGGAGAAGACUGAGACUGGAUCUCAUUAAUGGAGGUUGGAAGGAAGAUGUAAGUCUGCUUGAAGGAGCCAGGAAUCUGCCAAGCCUGAAUCCAAAGCACCGAGCUAUGAAGAUUGUGGAGGUGAUGGCCUGAAGUUGGUGCUGUGGGUCACCAUUUGACUGGAAAAGGGGGAACCACCAGAUUACUUCCAAAACAGAGAAACAUUCAGAGCAGCAGUGAAAGAAUAUUUUAGCAAACAUAGUUUGGAUUAAGCCACAAGGAGCCAAAGGAACAUCAAACACUACAGAAAGAGCUUCCAGUAAUAUGGAUAAUUAUUGGGGCUACUUGUCCUGAGAGCUGCAAAAAUCAUCAAGAGGUCACAGGGUUAAUCCCUAACUUGGCAUUUAUAAUUCAUUUAUUUUUACUCUAACCAAUUGGGAGAAACUCAAUUUUAAGUUUGGUCUGUAGUUAGCCACCAAGAGUCAAGUGCUCCAUUUCCAAAAGUGCCCUAUUAAUCUGUAUAUACUUCAUAACAAGUUAAUCUGACACACUUCAGUUGUAUUCCCUUCAAUGACUUCUCAAGCAAUACCAGUCAUUCACUUCCAUCAAGAGAGUCUUCCCAUGUACAAAGGAAUAUCCUAACCCAUGGAAGAACUUGAAAAGCAUAAAAAAGUCACCUACCGAGUAACAAAUUAUUUCUAUACAAUACCUCUUGAGUGAAAAGAUUUGCCUGGCAGCAGUUUGGGAUAUUUUGGGCACGUAGGAGGAGGAGGACAGCAAAAAGUGAUGAAAAUGCAUAGAGAUGCUCAGAAAGCAUUGUGAUGGAUGCACGUAUGGAAAGUGAAAUGCUGAGGACACUCUGUGCUCAUGAUACUCCUAUCCAAGAUGUCUCUGGAGGAGAGAACCUGCAACCUAACAUAUAGGGGACAACAUUUCCUCAGGUAUACAAGUUCUUUACCUUUUAAUCACCAACAUUUCCAUUUAAAGUUCUGUUCAGUGUCUUGCUCCACAAACGUGUCUGAAGAAUGUCAGUAUUUCUGAAGCUUAGAGAUACAGUUAAAGUUAACAUUUUUUCCCUGACAAAGUUAUGUAUCAUAGGAGAACUUGGACUUGUGUAGAGGUUUCACUCCCAGGGAGAGUUUGGUUAUAUGAAGAAACUUAUCUUAAAAAAUAAAAAAAGAAAACCCCAACAUCUUUUCAGUGAAAGCCAU